Molecule: long non-coding RNA, 7007 nt
Organism: Alligator mississippiensis (American alligator)
Lineage: Eukaryota; Metazoa; Chordata; Crocodylia; Alligatoridae
Exons: 3
Source: RefSeq, a predicted model, not a curated record
AUGGGUGAGAGGCAUUUGGCCUACAUCUCCACAACAAGUGAGAGAACACCUGCAACAAGCAGCCUCUGGCCAUUCUAACUAACCUUAUGCCUGGAUUCUCUACUCUGUUAUUCUGGUUUUAGUUACUUAGGAGCUGAUAACAUUGCAAUUGAAUAGAACUUGUGCACCAGAAUGGAGAGUUACAUGUUGUGCUUUGAGUCACUCAAAAUGUUGAUCAGUGUUAGUGCUGGCUUGAGUUUGGAGCAGUUACAUGUUCAAGCUAUCAGGGGCCUUAAGGACUGAAAGGUUACCAGAGGACUCUACUGCAUCCUUUUGGAUUCAUAUUCAACAGGUGGCCUCCAUACAAGCCUGUUGGCGAUUAUGUAUUGUACCUAUGAAUGAAAUGAGAGAUGUCUAGAAGCUUCAGCGACUUAAGAAGAGGAGGUGAAACCCACGCUGUGAAUCAGAGUUGGAACACCAAUAAGUAAUUCCACCACCUCCAGAUGCAAGAUCAAGGGCAUUCCAGCUGACACUGCAAUUUUUCUGCAUAUCUGCUCCUGCCAGUUACUGGAAUCAACGUAAGGCAAAGCUUGGAUGGGGAUUUCCCAUUCUGCUAAACAAAAUACUCUGUAUAGCACUAUUCAUUAGAAAUAUAUAUUUAUGUUCAUGCUUUUCCCUUCAUGGUAUAACAACAGCAACAUAUAAUCAAUUGAGUUUCUUCACAGUUCUUGCAAAGUCAGACUCAGCCCAUGGUUACUUCUAGAAACACAUUUGUUUUAUAAGUAGAUUACAAUAAAUCUCCCCUCUCCCAGAUUGACAAAUUAUGUAUUGGCAAUAGUGUUUCAGAUCAAUUUCAAUGCCCUCAACCUUUUUUUAAGCUUUCUGUUAUUUUUUAGAUUUAGGGGAAACAUACCCGCUUGGAUUUACCAUAAAACUAUCCCAUUUUUUCCCUGCAUGCAUAGAAAAAAGAAUGCAUAAUAUUUUAUAUUCACAUAUUUUUAGAAGGUAAAUUUGCAAAAUAUACCUUAUAUAAUAAAUAGGAGUAAGGAACAUAGGAUGAUAGAAAAUAGGGGCUGGAAGGGACCUCAUGGGGUCCUCUAGUCCAGCCCCCUGCUCAGGGCAGGAUCAUCUUUGACUAAACCUUCCCCACCAAGCGUAUAUCCAAUCUGUUCUUCAAAAUUGCCAAGGAUGGAGAUUCCAUAAUUUCUCUAGGCAUCCUGUUUCAAGGCUUGAGCACCCUCAUAGUCAGGAAGCUAAUCCUAAUCUUCAACCUAAAUUUCCUCUGCUGCAUUUUAAGGACAUUGCACAUAGUCCUGUCCCCUGUGGCCACAGAGAAUAGUCUAUUUCCAUCCUUUUUGUAGGAAUUCCUUUAACCUAGGUGAGGUGAUUAGUGGAGUAGGAGGGGGAGAACACCUUUCAGGUAUUUGAUUACUGUAAUCAACCCCUCCCCCUCAGUUUUGUCUUCUGCAGACUAAAUAACCCUAGGUCUUUCAGGCUUUUCUCAUAAGUCAUGCUUCUCAGGCCCCUAAUUUUUUUGUUGCUGUACACUGCAUUUUGUUCAAUCUGUCUGCAUCCUUUCUGAACUGUGAUACCCAAAACUGCAUACAGUACUUCAGUUGAGACCUCAGAAGUGCUGAAUAGAGCAGAAGAAUCAUUUCCCUUGAUUUGCAAAUGACACUCCUACCAAUACAGACUAGUACGCUGCUGGGUCAGAAGGUAGUGAAUCUCAGAAUUUUAUAAAUGGGGAAUUAGCAUAUUGUUUUCCACUCAAAGAGGAGGCCCUACUGUUUUGGUUUUUUUUCUAUGUUUAUGUUUCAUUAUGUUUACAUUUAUUUUCUGUAUGUUUUAUUCAUUAACCACAUGAAAUACAACAUCAAACAUGUCAUUUACGUAUCAAACAUGUCAUUUACCUAUCCUGUUUUGCUAAAUAAUAUCAUUAGUAGAUAAGAAAUAGGAAUAAAAAUGCUACAGUUCCCUUAUAAAUUAACAUAUUAUGUUUAUUUAUACUUAGUGUAAGAGUGGUUUAAACUUGAUCUUAGUCCAAGGAGGAACUUCUUUCAAUCACAUUUCUUGAUCUCCCAAUUGUGGGGAGAGAAGGUGGAUUGACAAAAACGUACGAGGAAGUUUAUUUUUAAAGAUUUAGGCUUCUAGGGUGCCUGUACAAGAGCUCUGCUGCGAAAUGGGGGGUGGUGUUUUAAUUAGAGAAGCUCUCAGAAGCUGCUCUAAUUCAAAUGCCCACAGUGUCUUGUGUAUUCAGCAUUCCACAUUUCAAAAUGGUGGUGGGGCACUUCAAAUAAAGCUUGUUCAAUGAGCUUUAGUUAAAGCACCCCCACUGCCACUUUGAAACACAGGACACAAUACAGGAGAUGCUGCAGCGCAUUGGAGCAUUCUGAUUUGAACACAUCAGAGAGGACUUGAUUAGUCAAGUCUCCUUCAAUGUGUUUGAAUUGGAACACAUCAGAACAUGUGUAAAAGUGCUGCUAGAGACUAUGUUGCCAACCAGGACUGCUCCUAGGCCUACCCUCUAGCCCAGACUAACUGACCUGACCAUCCACAGUAGUUUUCCACCCUGUCCCUAAAACAGUCCAGCCUGUCUCCAAACGGUUUCUUGAACCUCAAAAUUCAAAGUUGAGUUUCUACAUGGAGUCCCAUUCUCCCCUCCUCCCCCCCACCUACCACACUAAGAAUCAGGAGAUCCUUAAGCUAAAGGAACCCCUACAUUUUUCCUCCCUAGAUACACUUUUUGGAUCCUGGGCCUAAGAGGGAAAGAAAAAAUGUUUUCGAUUUAUUUUACAUCAUUGGACAUUGGCCACUGGCUGGAGCUAGAGUAGGAUUUUGGCUAAGAUAUUUUGUUGCUCCUUAUGGUACUAAGAACAUCUCGGAUAUCUAACUCAUGGGUCUGGUACUUAUUGCCAGGUCAGGAAGGAAUGUUAACCCCAAGGCAGUGUGUCAUGAACAGAGGAGGAGUUUUCCCUUUCUAGUUUGGGACAUGGUCUUCUUCAUGGAAUAUGUCAGCACAUUUUUACCUAUCUGUUUUUCUGCCCUUGUAGUGGCAGAGCACUAGCAAUGGUACAUAUCUCCUGUUCUGUAAUGGUGUCAUGUUGUGGGACAUUUUAUAGGACCUUUACUGGCUAUGCUGUGUAUCAGUAGUCAGAAGAGAUAUUCUUGUGGACCUUUUUGGAUAGAUGUUUUCCUGUAAAUGAGGGCGGCAGGAGUCAGUAAUCCAGGAUCUCACUUUCAUUCCUCUGUUCUUAUAGUCCUGAAGACUGAGGAUAUAGGAAAUCUGCUAGCACCUACCUUCAGACUAUUUGCUACCCUACUUUCUGUCUCUACUGCCCAUAAUCAGAGCAGGGAAGAUAGGGGGGACAAAUAGUGGUAUGACUAGGUCCUAGAAGGUUGUAAAGUAUAUAAAUGAAGACUGGAUCAGGCCCACAAACCAGUCCCAUAUACCAGAGCCAGUGCACUGCAUGCAGCAAACACCAGACCAGCUUCUUGUGCCACUUGCAAUGCAUGUGGCUUAGGCUGGUGAAUGCUGCAUGCAGUAUGUGGGGUUGGUCAGAGACCUACAGGCCAGAUCAUAAGGCUUCAGAGGCCAGAUUCAGCCCAUGGGCCUCAUCUUUGACACCCUAGUAUAAACAGAAUAUUGAUAUAAAAUAAAACUUGCAUUCUAUGUUAAAAGUGAACUUUAAAGAAGCAAACCUAAAAGCAAGCUUUAAAGAAGCCUUAUUGAUAGUGCAGGAGCUCACCACCCCAAUGCGCAGGAAGAUUUUCAAGUAUGGCAGAAGACCAGCUUGCUGUAGCAGGGAACUCUUUAGUAAACUAAAUUUAAAAAAAGGAAGCUUAUAAGAAGUGGAAACUUGUACAAAUACCUGGGGAAGAACAGAAGAGCAUUGCUCGGGGAUGCAGGGAUGAAGUCAAGAAGACCAAAGUGCAAUUGGAGCUGCAGCUAUCAAAGGAUGUGAAGGGUAACAUGAAGGGUGUCUACAAGUAUGUUGGUAGCAAGAGGAGGAUCAGGGAAAGUGUGGGUCUGGGAUACUGGAGGAAUACAAUGAUAGAAAAUUAGUGUUGGAAGGGACCUCAGGAGGCCAUCUAGUCAGUAAGGACUGAACGGGGGAGGCAACCUUGUUUCAGGGUGAUGCCUGACCAACUCGAUUGCCUUCUGUGAUGAUAUGGCAUCAAGCUGAGGGGAGGGGGAGAUACACUGGAGGGUAGGGCUAGGAUUCCAAGUAACCUAGAUGAAUUGGAAGAUUGGACAAAAAUAAAUCUCAUGAGGUUCAACAAGGAUAAGUUCAAAGUCCUAUACUUAGGAUGAAACAACCCCAUGCAUCAGUACAGGCUGUGGGCUGCCUGGCUGGGCAGCAGCUCUGCAGAAAAGGACCUUGGGGGUUACAGUGAACAAUAAGUUGAAUAUGAGCCAAUAGUGUGCCCUUGUUACAAAGAAUGCUAAUGGCAUACUGGUCUGCAUUGGUAGGUGUGUUGCCAACAGGUCAAGGAAAGUGAUUAUUCCCCUCUAUUCAGCAGUGGUGAGGCCACAUCUGGAGUACUGUGUUCAGUUCCCCCCCUCCCCCCCCAAGAAAGGAUGUGGACAAAUUGGAGAGUCCAGUGGAGGGCAACAAAAAUGGUGAGGGAGCUGCGGGACAAGACAUACAAGGAAAGACUGAGGCAACUGUGCUUUUUUAGUCUAGAGAAGAGGAGACUGAGAUGGGAUUUAAUAGCAGCCUUCAACUACCUGAAGGGGGUUCAAAAGACAAUGGAGCUAGACUGUUCUCAGUGGUGGUAGAUGACAGAACAAGAAGCAAUUGUCUCAAGUUGCAGCAAGGGAAGCUUAAGUUAGAUAUUAGUAAGAAUUUUCUUACUAGGAGGGUAGUAACACACUGGAACAGGUUACCUAGAGAGGUGGUGGCAGCUCCAUCCUUGGAGGUCUUUAAGACCUAGCUACCCAAACCUUUGGCUGGGAUUGAUAUAGUUGUGCAUGAUCCUGCUUUGAGCACAGAGUUGGACUAGAUAGCCUCCUGAGGUACCUUCCAACCCUAAUUUUCUAUGAUUGUAUUUCUCCAGUAUCCCAGAAUUCAGUGGCCUCUCCUGACACAUGGCAAAUGGGGAUGCAUUGUGCUGGGCCCUGCUGCACCCCAACAUCACCCCUCAGAGAACGUGGGCAUAGCAAGUGCCACAGGCCCAGAGGCACCCAGCAGCUGUAGUGUCGCCACCACGACCUGGACCAGCUGUUUUCCUGCCAGUGGCUGUGUUUGUGUGUGUGUGGGGGGGGGGGGGGCACCACCUAUGCUCCUGAGAAAAAAGGAUAAGGCCCCUCAGAGCUCAGAGUGAACAAGGCCUCCAGGCUUAAGCCUUGAUAGUCCUGCUGUCAGCAUAAAGCUGCUGCAGCUUGACCAGACCACAAAAUCCCAUGGAAGCAGCUUGCUAUCAUAAUGCUGCAGCUGCUCUGUGCUGAGAACAGGUCUGCCAGGGCUUAAACCCAACAGCCCCACUCUCAGUGUGGAGCUGCUGUGGCAUUUUCAGUAAGAUCAGAGAGCCCUGUGACUUUCUGGGUUUACUUCAACUGACAUAGUGGUGGGCCUGCUCUCUGCUGGGUGGAAGCAGAGAGCUGAUAAUGAUCCUAGUCCUGCCCCUGUGUAGAAAAAAAUUGCAUGGGUGUGGCAAGGCUCAGUGCAAGCCAGAAAGCUGAAGUGGCUUUCUGUAGGAGCAACCGAAAAAAUACAUCUACAUAUCAAUUAAUCUCAGUGUCACUAAAGAAAACAAAAUAACUAAAAUAUCCACUGUAAAUAUAUCCUGGUGCUAACUGACUUACUGUCCCCAGUAGCCUUUGAUCCUCACUACUUCACAUUGCAUUUUUAUAUAUUUCUAACAGUGCAUUUUCAUGUUUCAUCUGUCUCAUCUUUACCAUGGCAUUUUGUAUUUUAUAUUUUAUACUUUUAAACUCUGAAGGAGUGUACUCCCUAUAGAAUGAAUUUAUACCCUGGAGCAUUGUUAAAACUGCAUUGAAAUUGUAAUUGUAAAGUGAUAAAAUCUGUUGAGUGAAUGCGAGUGAAUGAUGAUCAUCAGUAGACAAUAGCCUAGCCAAAGGAACUCCAUUUUAAGCUAAUCAAGCUAAAGAACUGAUUUCUGGAACUAAGCACUCACCCUAUGGACUAUUCCUGUAAUCCAUGACAAUACAGCCAUUAAGUCAAUAAGUCAAGGGUGGACUCCCGAAAUUUCAGGUACCAGCAGGCAGAGACCCCUGUGACUAGCAGCUGUCAGGUACUACUCAAGACCCACGUGGGACAGCGACCUCUGGAUUGGAAGCCAAGAUGAUGCUGGGGAAAUCGCACAAUUCUCAGUGGCACCCUCUCAUCCAGCACCUGACCUACUGAGACUGAAGGACAAGCAGGCAACCCCCUUCUGAAGAAGCCAUCACCUUGAAGGAAGCUAUCCAUCAACAGCAGACUCUAGGGCCUCGGCUAGGUAGAUAUACUGACACCAGUGCUCUCACAAUCACUACAGCAGCCACUACACACUAUACUACAUGGGUUUGAAUGAAUGCGUGUGUGUGUGUGUGUGCGCGUGCGCGCGCAUGCACGCGUGCGUGCAUGCGCUAAGGUGACCAGUACCACCCAUAACUCAAAGUUUGCAUUUAUUUUAUUGGUAAGUUCACAUCCUGGCCAAUAAACUAGAAUUUAUUAUGAUCCCAUGAGUUGGUCCUUUGUAGCCAACACCUGCUCACCAAGCCUCUAGUGGCAAGUUGCAGCUGUGCCAGUGAAGUACAGUCAGAGCAGGGUUUUUGCUUUAACCUGCGACUCCUCCACUAAGUUGAACAACACUAAGCUUGUUAACAUUUAUUCAGCUUACAGUGAAACGUCUAAAAAGGCCCCGAGUACACAGGGAAAUUGUAACAGUUGAUGGUGGGAGGGCACAGUUUAAAGGCUGUGGUAUUAUGCAGUGAACUUCAGGGCAGGUACUCAAAAGACAACAGAGCUUUGAUUUCUAGAGCUACUUUUGAUGUCAUGUUUUGAAAUAAAACAGUGGUUUGUUAA